This 934-nucleotide long non-coding RNA is filed under the name Amborella trichopoda. RNAcentral describes it as "long non-coding RNA (ATRI_LNC000719)". The record is from RNAcentral. Lineage: Eukaryota; Viridiplantae; Streptophyta; Magnoliopsida; Amborellales; Amborellaceae.
CCAGCUGGGUUUCCUGUGAGCUUCCAUCGAAGUUCGCUUGACAAGCCCAUAGGUUCCAAGAGAUGGGACCAUAUAAGGACAAAGGUGGCUAUCAUUGAUUUCAGAUUCAACAUUACACAUCAAACAUAUGUUCGAUAGAGGCAUACCAUUUUUUCUGGGCUGCUCCACUGUUAGCAGUUUGUCCGUUACUGCUAUGCAGGCAAAGGUUUGGGUUUUAUAAGGUGUCAGGCAUCACCAUACCUUCUAAAUUGUAUCAGCAUUUUGUAUCAUCCUAUUACAGGUAGGAUUGUCUAUACAAUGAGCUUACUGAGAAGGUCUUGGAAGAGAUGCAAUUUUGGUGUGAUUUCUCACACUAUGUUUGUCAUUUUGUUAGGGGUGCUAGUAGUAUUGGUUCAAGCUACUCAAGAAUCAGGUGAUUUGGCCUUGAGAUGUGAUCCGCAUGCCCAUGCCCUCUUGAGUCACCUUGAGAUGUGAUCCACAUGCCCCCUUGAGCUUGAGUUGAUGGCGGUUGGUGCCCACAAGUACUUCCAUUUACUGAGGCACUUGACGAUCAUGCACUCUGGUAUAGACCAAGGAAUUGAUUUUUGGAAGUGGUUCCCCAACCAUUUAUGAGACCAAAAGCUAAUCCUGAUUCCAAUCACCUUUUCCCACCGUCAUUCUACCAUGACUCAUGAACAAUGGCCUACAAUAAUUUAUCCCUUUCUUCACUGUCACAGGGGGAUUUUAAGCUCUUAAUUGUCAUGCCAACGUCGUCAACACCAGACUUGAAAGCACUUGGCUUUGUGGUACAGCGCCAUCACCAUUGAAUGAGUAACGCUUUAUUUAUGAGUCAAAGUCCCCAAUAUUUUCGGUGCAAAUACUGUAUCUUAGUUUACCAAAUGAAAUUUACUCGUCUUUUGCUUUACUUCAUGAGAAUUUCUUCAUCAUACCUUUG